UUUCCGUAGGUGAACCUGCGGAAGGAUCAUUAACACGAGAUGCGCGACACAAUAUCAUUCUGUUGUGCGAGGGAGUGAUGGAGGUUCCGCAAGGAAUUGAAGUCUCUUCCUCGUAUCUUGAUACUAUACAACAAUAUAGUAUUUUGUACAAGUUUUCGAAAGAAAAACUAAGAAAAUUUUCAACGAUGGAUAUCUUGGUUCCC
This 203-nucleotide unclassified non-coding RNA is filed under the name soil metagenome. Its description in RNAcentral is "partial contains small subunit ribosomal RNA, internal transcribed spacer 1, and 5.8S ribosomal RNA". The record is from RNAcentral.